RNAcentral lists this ribosomal RNA (253 nucleotides) under uncultured bacterium. RNAcentral describes it as "partial 16S ribosomal RNA". It matches the Rfam family "Bacterial small subunit ribosomal RNA", at positions 524 to 776 of the family's 1533-position model. The record is from RNAcentral.
CACGGGGGGAGCAAGCGUUGUUCGGAAUCACUGGGCGUAAAGGGCGUGUAGGCGGUCGGGUAAGUGGAAUGUGAAAUCCCUCGGCUCACCCGAGGACCUGCAUCCCAAACUGCCUGGCUUGAGUAUGGGAGAGGAUGAGGGAAUUCCUGGUGUAGCGGUGAAAUGCGUAGAUAUCAGGAGGAACACCGGUGGCGAAGGCGGCCCUCUGGACGGUGACUGACGCUGAGGCACGAAGGUCAGGGGAGCAAACGGG